Molecule: long non-coding RNA, 364 nt
Filed under: Cucumis sativus (cucumber)
Lineage: Eukaryota; Viridiplantae; Streptophyta; Magnoliopsida; Cucurbitales; Cucurbitaceae
Description: long non-coding RNA (CSAT_LNC002271)
Source: RNAcentral
AACUUUCUUCCUUAUAAGCCAACUGAGUUUGCUUAAGACUAUUAUCAUCGGUACACCUCAUUCCAACAACCUCGCCCAAGUUGAGCUGCAAAAGAUCCAACGCAGAAUCCUCAUGAUUCUUUAAAGAAGAUACUUGGCCAAGAGCAGGUAAUUCUGAUUCAGGUCUACUUAAUUUAGGACCUGCAAGCUUCUCAUUGUUAUUCACUGGGCAAUUCAGGUCCUUGCCAGCCUUAACAACCCCAUCUACUUUUGAAUCAAGUGUAACAUCAAAGUUGUUCUGCAACUUCAACUCGGUAUCACCAUCAUGUGAAAUAUUCCAAUUCCUUCCACUAACUGCCUCAUUAACAUUUCUGCCAUCUUGAAU